This 460-nucleotide ribosomal RNA is filed under the name uncultured bacterium. RNAcentral describes it as "partial 16S ribosomal RNA". It matches the Rfam family "Bacterial small subunit ribosomal RNA", at positions 338 to 795 of the family's 1533-position model. The record is from RNAcentral.
CCUACGGGAGGCAGCAGUGAGGAAUAUUGGUCAAUGGACGAGAGUCUGAACCAGCCAAGUAGCGUGAAGGAUGACUGACCUAUGGGUUGUAAACUUCUUUUAUAUGGGAAUAAAAUGUUCCACGUGUGGGAUUUUGUAUGUACCAUAUGAAUAAGGAUCGGCUAACUCCGUGCCAGCAGCCGCGGUAAUACGGCGGAUCCGAGCGUUAUCCGGAUUUAUUGGGUUUAAAGGGAGCGUAGGUGGAUUGUUAAGUCAGUUGUGAAAGUUUGCGGCUCAACCGUAAAAUUGCAGUUGAAACUGGCAGUCUUGAGUACAGUAGAGGUGGGCGGAAUUCGUGGUGGAGCGGUGAAAUGCUUAGAUAUCACGAAGAACUCCGAUUGCGAAGGCAGUUCACUGGACUGCAACUGACACUGAGGCUCGAAAGUGUGGGUAUCAAACAGGAUUAGAUACCCGGGUAGUC